GGCUCAGAGGAGCCGAGACCCCGCCGGCCCUGGGAGAGAAAUGCCCACGGGUUUGAAUGGAAUCAGCAAGGCCGGGCUGGCAGCGCGUCCAUGGCGUUUAUUGUUCCAGCACAAGGGCGCUUUGGGGACAAGAGUUCCACGGAGGCCUCUGAGGAGAGAUUAGAUCGGUUCCCUGCUCUGCUCCCAGAUAAAACUGCCCAUGGCGGCCGAGGCAGCGGCGCCGCCGCCUUUGUGUGCUCCGGCCCCUGCAGCAGGAAAAGCGAGCCCACAGCUGGCAAAAAGGGACAUUGUCCCUGUGGGUGACAGCCAGGCCGCAGCUCUGGGGUGGCACUGAGUGGCUAUGGCUCAGCCACAACAGGGGGGACAGCACCGGUGACAUCUGAACCUUUCGGGAAUGCUUUCCUGGGAGAGGAGACGGGAGCUGCUGGAGAAUGCUGCUCUGAAGGCUCAGGGGGACAUUGGAUGGAGUAUCAGAUGGGAGUGUUCAGGAAACUCAAGGUUUGUUAACUUUAGAGCAGCCAAGAGGGUGAUGGAGCUGGGUAGCUCCCACUCAGUACAUCAGAACAUUUUCCUUGCCCUGGCUCACUAACAAGCCAGUUAUAAACUUAAAUCAUUCCAGCCAUUUCUUUUCUGUAGAACACGCACAUCACUGACCUCCUUCAUCAACAUCCAUCACAAAACCCACUUGAGAGCUGAUUUUUGCCUUUGCCCCCCAAAUGACCCUGUAUUAGCAGAUGCUGAUGGAGUAAAAGCACACAUCAUCUGGGACACACCAGCCCCACAGCACCAGCUGAGCUCCAAGCCCCUGCAGGGACCACAGAGGCAGAAGGACAGGAGAGCAAUUACAGCCCAGUCAUGUUCACAGGGCACCCCAUGAAUGCAUCAAGGCCAGGGCUCCUCACAAACCCAUCUCCAGCUCAAAGCCACCACACUUCCCUGGAUGCACCGGGGAGAAGAACCGCAGAGAGCUUGGAUGUCUGCAGAACAAAAGCCCUACACAAAGAAUUCCUGCCCGACUCGAAUGGCAGCCCGGGGUGCUGAUACAGUCUCAAACGCAGUAAUUAUUGCUGGCUUUGAAGCCUAACUUGUGCAGAGUGCACUUUCCACACCUAUUUCACCCAAACGACACCACUUACCUCAUCCCCUGCGUACCUGCUCCUCCAGAGCCCUUUGUAGUCCUGCCAGGGCCGCUCAUUACUGCUCUCAAACGCUGCUGCUGCUUCUGGAGCAGGAGACAGCAACUUUAUGCAGGGGAAAAUGCGAAAUUAAAAAAGGCUGCCCUGAAUUACA
Molecule: long non-coding RNA, 1290 nt
Organism: Cyanistes caeruleus (blue tit)
Lineage: Eukaryota; Metazoa; Chordata; Aves; Passeriformes; Paridae
Source: RefSeq, a predicted model, not a curated record